RNAcentral lists this ribosomal RNA (467 nucleotides) under uncultured bacterium. Its description in RNAcentral is "partial 16S ribosomal RNA". It matches the Rfam family "Bacterial small subunit ribosomal RNA", at positions 29 to 507 of the family's 1533-position model. The record is from RNAcentral.
ACGAACGCUGGCGGCGUGCUUAACACAUGCAAGUCGAACGGAAAGGCCCUGCUUUUGUGGGGUGCUCGAGUGGCGAACGGGUGAGUAACACGUGAGUAACCUGCCCUUGACUUUGGGAUAACUUCAGGAAACUGGGGCUAAUACCGGAUAGGAGCUCCUGCUGCAUGGUGGGGGUUGGAAAGUUUCGGCGGUUGGGGAUGGACUCGCGGCUUAUCAGCUUGUUGGUGGGGUAGUGGCUUACCAAGGCUUUGACGGGUAGCCGGCCUGAGAGGGUGACCGGCCACAUUGGGACUGAGAUACGGCCCAGACUCCUACGGGAGGCAGCAGUGGGGAAUAUUGCACAAUGGGCGGAAGCCUGAUGCAGCAACGCCGCGUGCGGGAUGACGGCCUUCGGGUUGUAAACCGCUUGCGCCUGUGACGAAGCGUGAGUGACGGUAAUGGGUAAAGAAGCACCGGCUAACUACGUG